Molecule: transfer RNA, 77 nt
Filed under: Bradyrhizobium sp.
Lineage: Bacteria; Pseudomonadati; Pseudomonadota; Alphaproteobacteria; Hyphomicrobiales; Nitrobacteraceae
Also listed under: 7 other names
Description: tRNA-Arg
Rfam family: tRNA
About the family: Transfer RNA (tRNA) molecules are approximately 80 nucleotides in length.
Source: RNAcentral
GCGCCCGUAGCUCAACUGGAUAGAGCACCAGACUACGGAUCUGGGGGUUAGGGGUUCGACUCCUCUCGGGCGCGCCA